UUCUAGGCUGUUUUCACGGCCAUCCCACAUAAAAAAUUUAACUUUAU
Non-coding RNA from Octopus bimaculoides (California two-spot octopus), 47 nucleotides. The record is from Rfam. NCBI's taxonomy places the organism in Eukaryota, Metazoa, Mollusca, Cephalopoda, Octopoda, Octopodidae.